This is a non-coding RNA of Trichophaea hybrida, 72 nucleotides long. Lineage: Eukaryota; Fungi; Ascomycota; Pezizomycetes; Pezizales; Pyronemataceae. The record is from the annotation of a GenBank genome assembly.
GGGCCGGUAGCUCAGUUGGUAGAGCCUCCAUCUACAACACAAUGGUCCUAGGUUCAACGCCUAGCCAGUGCA